Molecule: long non-coding RNA, 767 nt
Filed under: Helianthus annuus (common sunflower)
Lineage: Eukaryota; Viridiplantae; Streptophyta; Magnoliopsida; Asterales; Asteraceae
Description: hypothetical non coding rna
Source: RNAcentral
UUACACAAACUCAAAAUCACACCAUCAGACUCCCCUUCCUGCUUCCCCUUCUUCUUCGAUUUCAAAACCACAACCAGUCACCCCCUUUCUCUUCUCUCUGUUCAAUCGCCGGCGACCAGGAGCCGGUCACCGGUGCCGGCCGUCGCACACCCCCCUCUUCGUUAAUCACCCACCACACCACCCACCUCCGCGCAGAUCAGAGACAAAGACGAGAGAGAAAGAGAGACGAGACAGAGAGAGAGAGAGAGCGCCGGAGAUAGGAGCGGCACCGCCGCUCACGGCGGCGGCGGUGGAGCCGACGACGACAACAGCAGAACCGUCGUGGCGGUGACGACUCUCAGGCGACACGUUUUCAUAUCCGAUUGGCCCGAAAAUGACGGUGGUGUUAAGGUUGAGCUGAUGAAGAGCGUGGUGUUGGUGUUAUUUCGGGCUCGGCUUGGUUCGGUUCGGGUUGGUUCAAGUCGUGCUUCAGGUUAAAGUGAGCCAGGUUCAGAUGGUUGUACAGCAGAUUUGGGUCUCAGCUCAGAUCGGGUUCGGUUCGGUCAACAACGGGUCUUGGUUUCGGUGUCAGAUUAUGAAGCGGUUCAGUUGACUCGGUCAAACCGAGUUAACUCGGUCAACUCGGUCAGCCUACUCGACUAAGCGACGUGAGAAUUUCUGUAAUAGAUUAAAAGAAAUGAUUUUGUUACAUUAUAUUUCUAGUUUAAACUUACGUGACAAACGAGCUUUUGAACCAUCGUUUAUUUAGUGAUUAUACACGUUAAUUU